UCAGACGAUGCGUCAUGCAUAUCAAUAAGCGGAGGAAAAGAAACUAACAAGGAUUCCCCUAGUAACGGCGAGUGAAGCGGGAAGAGCUCAAAUUUGAAAUCUUAAAGGGUUUCCCUUUACGAAUUGUAGUUUAAAGAAGUGUUUUCUGUUGAGGUUUUGGUAAAAGUUCUUUGGAAUAGGACAUCAUAGAGGGUGAGAAUCCCGUAUUUGACCUUUACUUUCAACUUUGUGAUACACUUUCAAAGAGUCGGAUUGUUUGGGAAUGCAGUCCAAAAUGGGUGGUAAAUUUCAUCUAAAGCUAAAUAUUGGCGAGAGACCGAUAGCGAACAAGUACCGUGAGGGAAAGAUGAAAAGAACUUUGAAAAGAGAGUUAAACAGUACGUGAAAUUGUCAAAAGGGAAGCGUUUGACACCAGUGUUGUUUUUCUGAAAAUCAAUUAAAGAACUGUUUAUGCUAAGUUGUUUAGACUUUAUCAGCUAAUCUGCUUAGUUUUGAGCUUUUCUUUAAUGCACUUUUCAGUUAACAAGUCAACAUCAAUUUCUUUUGCUGUAAAAAAGCUUGAGGAAGGUGGCUUGAGAUUCGUCUUAAGUGUUUAUAGCCUCUUGCCUAUGCAGUCGGAGAGAUUGAGGUCUGCAGCGUAGAUCCUUCGGGGCUAAAUGCAUUUGUGCUAAGUUAUAGCAUUUUAUAGACAACUUGUUGACUAUGAUUUGUCUUGUAGCUUACUCGCUUAUGUUAUUUUACCUACGCUUAGGAUGUUGACACACGCGCGUGCUCG
Molecule: ribosomal RNA, 775 nt
Filed under: uncultured Neocallimastigales
Lineage: Eukaryota; Fungi; Neocallimastigomycota; Neocallimastigomycetes; Neocallimastigales
Description: partial large subunit ribosomal RNA
Rfam family: Eukaryotic large subunit ribosomal RNA
Source: RNAcentral